GCCCCAGUAACGGCGAGUGAAGCGGCAACAGCUCAAAUUUGAAAUCUGGCCCCUAGGGUCCGAGUUGUAAUUUGUAGAGGAUGCUUUUGGUGAGGUGCCGCCCGAGUUCCCUGGAACGGGACGCCGCAGAGGGUGAGAGCCCCGUCUGGCUGGCCACCGAGCCUCUGUAAAGCUCCUUCGACGAGUCGAGUAGUUUGGGAAUGCUGCUCAAAAUGGGAGGUAUAUGUCUUCUAAAGCUAAAUAUUGGCCAGAGACCGAUAGCGCACAAGUAGAGUGAUCGAAAGAUGAAAAGCACCUUGAAAAGAGGGUUAAACAGUACGUGAAAUUGUUGAAAGGGAAGCGCUUGUGACCAGACUUGGGCGCGGCGGAUCAUCCGGGGUUCUCCCCGGUGCACUUCGCCGUGUUCAGGCCAGCAUCAGUUCGGCGCGGGGGAAAAAGGCUUCGGGAACGUGGCUCCUCCGGGAGUGUUAUAGCCCGUUGCAUAAUACCCUGCGCUGGACUGAGGACCGCGCAUCUGCAAGGAUGCUGGCGUAAUGGUCACCAGCGACCCGUCUUGAAACACGGACC
RNAcentral lists this ribosomal RNA (567 nucleotides) under Trichoderma atroviride. RNAcentral describes it as "eukaryotic LSU rRNA". It matches the Rfam family "Eukaryotic large subunit ribosomal RNA", at positions 77 to 667 of the family's 3401-position model. Lineage: Eukaryota; Fungi; Ascomycota; Sordariomycetes; Hypocreales; Hypocreaceae. The record is from RNAcentral.